This 404-nucleotide ribosomal RNA is filed under the name Actinomycetes bacterium. RNAcentral's name for it is "Actinobacteria bacterium partial 16S ribosomal RNA". It matches the Rfam family "Bacterial small subunit ribosomal RNA", at positions 355 to 776 of the family's 1533-position model. The record is from RNAcentral. Lineage: Bacteria; Bacillati; Actinomycetota; Actinomycetes.
UGGGGAAUAUUGGACAAUGGGCGCAAGCCUGUUCCAGCCAUGCCGCGUGAGUGAUGAAGGCCCUAGGGUUGUAAAGCUCUUUCACCGGUGAAGAUAAUGACGGUAACCGGAGAAGAAGCCCCGGCUAACUUCGUGCCAGCAGCCGCGGUAAUACGAAGGGGGCUAGCGUUGUUCGGAUUUACUGGGCGUAAAGCGCACGUAGGCGGACUUUUAAGUCAGGGGUGAAAUCCCGGGGCUCAACCCCGGAACUGCCUUUGAUACUGGAAGUCUUGAGUAUGGUAGAGGUGAGUGGAAUUCCGAGUGUAGAGGUGAAAUUCGUAGAUAUUCGGAGGAACACCAGUGGCGAAGGCGGCUCACUGGACCAUUACUGACGCUGAGGUGCGAAAGCGUGGGGAGCAAACAGG